RNAcentral lists this long non-coding RNA (986 nucleotides) under Monodelphis domestica (gray short-tailed opossum). RNAcentral describes it as "lncRNA (ENSMODG00000032641.2)". The record is from RNAcentral. Lineage: Eukaryota; Metazoa; Chordata; Mammalia; Didelphimorphia; Didelphidae.
CUAUUGUUAGGUCUGACAUCACAUUACAUGUGUGAUCUAAACAAUGUGGGGCUUGCUGGCAGUGAAGCCCCCCAGGAAACGUUCUAGUCUUGUGGAGCCAGAAUCUGCAAUGGUCACAUUCCCUACAUUACUAAAGAAAAGGGUACAUGCAACUGAAGACCAUUUUGGACAGAUUUUGUGUGUGUUGUAGAGAGGACCUAUGUUGAGUCUUCAACACUGUUCAGUCAUUCUACACUAAAAGAUUUGGAAUGGAAGGAGAAGAGGGAGCAUCCGCGUUGUUCUAUUUUAUGUUAACAUACCUUUUAAAAAAAAUUAGAAGAAUCAGAACAGAAUUCUUUUUUAGAAACCUUGAAGAUUAGGAAAUCAUGAGGAAGAAGAUGGCUGUCUCACUGAAAACAUAACAGCUCAGAAACAGGUGAGCAGACAUCUAGGUCACUCAUUUUUCAGAGUAAUCAUUAGUGACUGACCUAGAGUAUGAGCUUUCUACUCCCAGGAAUGUCCCUAAAGAAUGCUCAGGCCAUCACCAAAAAGCACUUAGCAAACAUCUCAUUGCAUUAUGCUUACUGCUUUUAGCUCUCAUUGGGAGUUGCUGGACUUAUGACCUCUGAAUUAUUCUUUGAAAACAAACAUUGAUUAACCCUAUCUUGCUUAGGUUGACUAUCAUUUGAGUGUGAGGGAAGAACAGAACACUUUCAGUUAGAUGGUCACUGUUUUUUUAGAGAAUUUGAUUCCUUUGAAUGCGAGGAAAGGAAGCUAAUAUACUCAUUUCCCACAUAUGUUUUCUUUUUCAUUUAAACCCUUACCUCCUGCCUUGGAAUUAAUACUAUUUAUUGGUUCAAAGGCAGAAGAGUAGUAAGGGCUGGGCAAUAGGGGUUAAGUGACUUGCCCAAGGUCACAUAGCUAGGAAGUGUCUGAGGCCAAGUUUGAACCUAGGACCUCCAUUUCUGGCUCUUAAUCCACUGAGCUACCCAGCUGUCCCCACCCAC